CGCGGGGAGCCCACGGGGAGCCCAAGGGGAGCCCCAGGCCCGUCUCGGCUCGGGGGUGAAGACACACAAACUCCGCUGACUUUGCCCCUGCUGAGCUCAGAGACACCCAAGUGAGGCAAAACCUUGGCAGCUUUAAUACCCUGCACUCUCCUGUCAGGUGAAGACACACCAACUCUGCUGAAUUUGGCCCUGCUGAGCUCAGAGACGCCUUGAAAACUCUGGAUAAUGAGGUAAAACCUUGCCAGCUUUAAUGCCCUGCACUCUCCUGUCAGGUGAAGACACACCAACUCUGCUGAAUUUGGCCCUGCUGAGCUCAGAGACGCCUUGAAAACUCUGGAUAAUGAGGUAAAACCUUGGUAGCAUUAAUGCCCUGCACUCUCCUGUCAGGUGAAGACACAAACCCCACUGAAUUUGGCCCUGCUGAGCUCAGAGACACCUUGAAAACUCUGGUUAAGCGAGGUAAAACCAUGCCAGCAUUAACACCCAGCAGGAAUGUAGCAGCAAGGUCACCAAAAGCCAUCCCUUGUGCCACCCCAGAGCCCUGGAAGUGCUGCAGAGGGAAGAAGGACAUCAGGCAGCAGCAUGGCCUGGGGCUCGUGGAGGCUGAAAAGAGCAAAUUUCUGAGACAGUGUCAGGGCACAGCAGCUGUCACCCUGAGUUUUGUGGCUCCAGGCUACAAAGGACCUGUCCAACAGCAAGCUUGUCACUGCCACUUGAUAAAAACAGGAGGACUCGGUGUCCCUUGUCCUCUGUGUUGCGUAAAAGCGAUGUUGGCCAGGCCAGCUGAACACACAAAGUGGAAAAAAUGUGAAUUUGUGAGCGUGGGGUGAGGGAAUUGAUCUGUCCUGGUCCUGACACGGCUGCAUUUCAGGCCAGCCUUUGGCCAGAAGGUGAAAAGGGAAUUGGCUCCUGUGCCUCCAGCCCUGGGAUCUGGGAGAGUCACAGGCACUCCUGCAGAUUUUAUCUCCCCUGGGAUCACACAAGGAGGCAAAUCAACAAUGUGCCUGAAGAUUUGUGGGCUGCUCAGGCAGGAAAAUAUAGGCAGGUAACAACCCAGUCAAUCUAAUACUUUUUGUGUUUAGAGGUCUUUCUGUAAUUAGCUUAUUGUCAGCUUGAUUGUUGGCCACAGAGAGAAUUUUUGACAGGUUAAUUUAACAGAACAGGAGGUGAUUUCCAUUUUUAUGGCUUUGUGUUGAUCUUCUUAUGAAACUCUUGCUACUGAAGACAUCCACUCCUGCCAGCUGGAGAUGGAUCCCUGGAAGGAGGCUGCUGAAUCCACCAGCAAGGAAGAUUCCCAGAUAGUCCCAGAUUCUCUCAUCACUUCUGAAUUCAGACAUGAAUCUCAGACUCCACAUCUCUCUGGCAAACCCCUUUGGACCGUGUUCCCAUGAUCCAUGUGCAGAAAAAUGCUGAAUGGGAUUUUCAGGACCCAAAUGCAUGGUUCAGGAAAGUCUGUUCUAUUUAAAACCAACAAUGAUUAAGCAGUGUCUGAAAUCUCACCCUAAAUCUCUCGAUGGCUACAGUUAACACACAGUGACAAAGCAGAGAUGACUUAAGCUCUUGGCUUAUGGGGGUUUUAAAAACCAGACUGAAAUCUCCCUGGCUGACACCUUCUGUGUAGAAAUGCCAGCUUGAGUUGCUCAUAAAUGAUCUUUCCAGCCUGAUGUGUCAUGGAUAUCUGCAGAGCAUGAAGUCAGACAAAGCAGCCCUGUGUCCAAGUGAUGAGGCUGGCUGAUCCCACAGAGUGCUUGUGCAGGCAUGAAGCUUCCCCUGGAAAAGCACUGCAGUGAGAUCAUGAGGAAUUCUCAGCUCUCUGUUAUCCUGAGGUGCCACAGAGCAGCAGAACAUCCUGGAGGAGGGAGCAGAACAGAUCUGCUGAGUGUUCUGUGCCAGCUCCACGCUGCUGCUGCUGCCUUCUCCUCCCACCAUCACCUGCUCAGGCUCCAGCCUGGUUAACAACAAUUAAAAUGUUCUUUAUUUUUCCCAGAAAUCCCCCUCACAACAACAUGGUGACAAAUGGGACUUCACCCACAGCAGGGAAAAUAAUGUAAUUAUUAUAUUAAUUAUAAUUUCUGGAGGUCUGCACCUCCAGAAUCCUGCCUGGUGAUGCCUGGUGUUUUAUUGCUUUUUGAAUAAAAACUAACCCAAAUCACAGACUGGUCCAGGACUCAAAGCAAGGAAGAUUCCCAGUCCAAACUGUAAAAGAUGAGGUAUAACUAAAAGGCAAAGGUGGGUUUUUUUCUCAGAGGAUCUAAGAUUCACAUGAUGGAAGUGUUUUGCCCUGUAAAUUCUUGGAGUAAAGACUAUUUUUUUAAAGAAUAAACAGUUUUUCACAGAAUACUUUGACCUAAGACUCACAUGGUGGAAGUUUUUUGCACUGUAAAUUCUUGAAGUAAAGAUCAUUUUGAGAAAGAAUAUUUUGAAAGAAUAAUUUCUCUCAGAAUACUUCAACUCUGGGAGCUGAUUUUAAGAUAAAUACCAAAUAACUGCCAAAAU
This is a long non-coding RNA of Onychostruthus taczanowskii (white-rumped snowfinch), 2496 nucleotides long. RefSeq lists it as uncharacterized. The transcript is spliced from 3 exons. NCBI's taxonomy places the organism in Eukaryota, Metazoa, Chordata, Aves, Passeriformes, Passeridae. The record is from RefSeq and is a predicted model, not a curated record.